Molecule: ribosomal RNA, 180 nt
Filed under: uncultured Glomeromycotina
Lineage: Eukaryota; Fungi; Glomeromycota
Description: partial small subunit ribosomal RNA
Source: RNAcentral
GAAUCAGUACGCUGGUCGUGCCUUCGGUAUGUACUGGUGUCACUGGUUUCUCCCUUCUGAAGAACCAUCAUGCCAUUCACUUGGUGUGGUGGGAAAUCAGGACUGUUACUUUGAAAAAAUUAGAGUGUUUAAAGCAGGCUCGCGCUUGAAUACAUUAGCAUGGAAUAAUGAAAUAGGACG